Molecule: ribosomal RNA, 119 nt
Filed under: Staphylococcus aureus
Lineage: Bacteria; Bacillati; Bacillota; Bacilli; Caryophanales; Staphylococcaceae
Description: partial 23S ribosomal RNA
Rfam family: Bacterial large subunit ribosomal RNA
Source: RNAcentral
GAUUAAGUUAUUAAGGGCGCACGGUGGAUGCCUUGGCACUAGAAGCCGAUGAAGGACGUUACUAACGACGAUAUGCUUUGGGGAGCUGUAAGUAAGCUUUGAUCCAGAGAUUUCCGAAU